CUCCCUAUACUCUUUGUAUAAUCUUUAGAACUUAUUACUAAUUUUGUUUACAACAUACAACAACGUUGCUAAAAUUACAAACUACAAAACUUAAUUUUUUUUCUCGAUAAAACUGAUCAUUAUAAUGAAGCAAGUAACUGGAUUACACUAAUUACUGUAACAACGAGCCACAGUGUGUCACUGUGUACAAUCAGACCACUAUUUCGACAAACUUCGACGCCAUCAGCCGGUUGCCCAGGCCAACCAAUUUUGUAUUUCUUGCUGCAUCUUUCUUUCACCAGCCACUUUUCGAGUGGUUGAAAGUAUUCCUUAAUUGGAGCUACAGACAUUUCUUUGCUUCCCGUCAUUUUUUCCAAGGCGUAUGGCCACGGUUUCUUUUUACCCAUUUCGAGCAUUGCG
This is a non-coding RNA of Paramuricea clavata, 399 nucleotides long. NCBI's taxonomy places the organism in Eukaryota, Metazoa, Cnidaria, Anthozoa, Malacalcyonacea, Plexauridae. The record is from the annotation of a GenBank genome assembly.